GGGGACCUCGAGUGCCAGCAUACAAUGUUGGCUGUCCAGAUGCCUAAAAAGCAUUUGAAGCAAGGGCCGGGCAAGACCGGUGCCAGCCGCCGCGGUAACACCGGCGGCUCGAGUGGUAACCGCUAUUAUUGGGUUUAAAGGGUCUGUAGCCGGCUGGAUAAGUCUCUUGGGAAAUCUGGCAGCUUACCUGUCAGGCUGCUAAGAAAUACUGUUCGGCU
Molecule: ribosomal RNA, 218 nt
Filed under: uncultured Methanosaeta sp.
Lineage: Archaea; Methanobacteriati; Methanobacteriota; Methanomicrobia; Methanotrichales; Methanotrichaceae
Description: partial 16S ribosomal RNA
Rfam family: Archaeal small subunit ribosomal RNA
Source: RNAcentral